CCUACGGGAGGCAGCAGUGGGGAAUAUUGGGCAAUGGGCGCAAGCCUGACCCAGCAACGCCGCGUGAAGGAAGAAGGCUUUCGGGUUGUAAACUUCUUUUCUCAGGGACGAAGAAAGUGACGGUACCUGAGGAAUAAGCCACGGCUAACUACGUGCCAGCAGCCGCGGUAAUACGUAGGUGGCAAGCGUUAUCCGGAUUUACUGGGUGUAAAGGGCGUGUAGGCGGGAAAGCAAGUCAGAUGUGAAAACCAUGGGCUCAACCUGUGGCCUGCAUUUGAAACUGUUUUUCUUGAGUACUGGAGAGGCAGACGGAAUUCCUCGUGUAGCGGUGAAAUGCGGAGAUAUGAGGAGGAACACCAGUGGCGAAGGCGGUCUGCUGGACAGCAACUGACGCUGAGGCGCGAAAGCGUGGGGAGCAAACAGGAUUAGAUACCCGAGUAGUC
Molecule: ribosomal RNA, 443 nt
Filed under: uncultured bacterium
Lineage: Bacteria
Description: partial 16S ribosomal RNA
Rfam family: Bacterial small subunit ribosomal RNA
Source: RNAcentral